AGCGAACGUUAGCGGCGGGCCUAACACAUGCAAGUCGAACGCGAAAGGUCUUCGGACUGAUUAGAGUGGCGCACGGGUGAGUAACACGUAGGUAAUCUACCCUUCGGCGGGGGAUAACGUUCCGAAAGGAGCGCUAAUACCGCAUAAGACCACGGAGUCUCCGGACGCUGUGGGAAAAGGUGGCCUCUUCUUGAAAGCUAUCACCGGAGGAUGAGCCUGCGUCCCAUCAGCUAGUUGGUAAGGUAAUGGCUUACCAAGGCAAAGGACGGGUAGCUGGUUUGAGAGAAUGAUCAGCCACACUGGCACUGGAACACGGGCCAGACUCCUACGGGAGGCAGCAGUGAGGAAUAUUGGGCAAAUGGGCGAAAGCCUGACCCGAGCCACGCCGCGUGAGUGAUGAAGGCCCUCGGGUCGU
RNAcentral lists this ribosomal RNA (415 nucleotides) under uncultured bacterium. Its description in RNAcentral is "bacterial SSU rRNA". It matches the Rfam family "Bacterial small subunit ribosomal RNA", at positions 29 to 426 of the family's 1533-position model. The record is from RNAcentral.